Molecule: non-coding RNA, 1482 nt
Organism: Pelobates cultripes (western spadefoot toad)
Lineage: Eukaryota; Metazoa; Chordata; Amphibia; Anura; Pelobatidae
Source: the annotation of a GenBank genome assembly
CAAUGAGCUUACGUGCUAGAUAGAGUGGGGUAUAGUGACACCAGGUAAGUGUAGGGUAGAAAAGUAGGUUGUUAGAAUAGUAUGUUCUGAGGGCUUAGUGGGGGUUUUUUGUUUGUGGUUUUUUUUUUUUUAAAUGACAGUUGUAGCAGAGGAAUCCGGUUGAGGGAAGGAAAAGUUAUUAGUUUAAUUGAUAUGCUUUCCUUGAAAAGUGGGUUUUCAAUGUUUUUUUUUUGAAGGAAUGGACACUGGGGGAGAGUCUAGUGGAGGGUGAAGGCAGGCAUCAGAGGUAGGUGUAUGAACAGAGGAUAGAAGCAGUCACCUGGGCGGGACAUGCUUGUGUAUUAGGAAGGAUAGGUAGGUUGGAGCAGCAUUAUGUAGAGAUUUGUAAGUACUAGAAUGUUAAAUUGUGCCCUAUAUCUAACGGAAAGCCACUGUAGAGAUUGACAAAGGUCAGAGGUGCGAGCGGACAGGAACAUGAGCCUCACCGCCAAAUUCAUUAUAGACUGUAAUGAGGCAAGUUGGGAACACAUAAGACCACUGAAAAGCGGAUUGCAGUAGUCAAGGCGAGAGAGGAUAGCGGUGUGAGCCAGCACAUUAGUUGCGUCCUGGUUACAUGCUAUGUUUUUGAUAUGGAAGUGACAAGAUUUGGUGAUCAAUUGGAUAUGAGGGAUGAAGGAGAGGUCGGAAUCAGAGAGAACACCUAGGCACCGAGCCUGCAAGAUAGAGCUGGUGGUAUCACGGUUGACAUGGAGGGAGGGAGACAUGGGAGUAGCAGCACUUAAGUGUUACUUUGGUAACAUCCAUUUAAAAACCUUGAGAAGUGUGGAAUCUAGACUGGAGCAUGUCUAGUUAGAUUCAAGGAAAUCUGUCAGUUCUGUCAGACACAACUCUCUCAAGGAUCGUGGAGGCAAGCAGCAGCUGCAGCAGCGAGAUUGGGUGGUAGUUAGGCUCAAGGUUGGAUUUUUUCAGAAUCGGGGUUACGGUUGCAUGUUUGUAGGGUGAAGGAAAUGUGCAAGAGGAGAGGGGGAGAUUAAAAAUUAUAGUAAGAGGCAGAGACAGAGUGUGCAUGAGAUUCGAGGUGGUGGGGCGGGAGGACCGGAGCAGAGCAGAGAUCUCUUCCACUGUAGUGGGUGCGAAUGAGCAUAAAACGACAAAAGGGAGUAUGAUACUAUGUGGAAAACGGUUUUCCACCAGACCUGUUUUUGUAGGUAACGUUUGUUGUGUACCCCGUCUCAUUUUGAUAUGAUGGACCACACAUUUGUCAGCCCCCUAACAUCAAUCACAGCUAAAAAAGGAUUGGACAGACACAUAUAACUGAUAAAAUUGUUCAGACCCUAAGGACAUCUUUUUAAAUCUGUUUGGAACCAAAUCUUUCCCAAAUUACAUCCAAAAUUAAUUCAAGAGGUCAUUGGUUUUUAAUUUGUGUUAUUGACAUGGAGACUUGUUUUGAAAAAAAAUCUCUAAAAUUUGGAUUCAUUAAAG